GACGAACGCUGGCGGCGUGCUUAACACAUGCAAGUCGAACGGAAAGGCCCUGCUUUUGUGGGGUGCUCGAGUGGCGAACGGGUGAGUAACACGUGAGUAACCUGCCCUUGACUUUGGGAUAACUUCAGGAAACUGGGGCUAAUACCGGAUAGGAGCUCCUGCUGCAUGGUGGGGGUUGGAAAGUUUCGGCGGUUGGGGAUGGACUCGCGGCUUAUCAGCUUGUUGGUGGGGUAGUGGCUUACCAAGGCUUUGACGGGUAGCCGGCCUGAGAGGGUGACCGGCCACAUUGGGACUGAGAUACGGCCCAGACUCCUACGGGAGGCAGCAGUGGGGAAUAUUGCACAAUGGGCGGAAGCCUGAUGCAGCAACGCCGCGUGCGGGAUGGCGGCCUUCGGGUUGUAAACCGCUUUCGCCUGUGACGAAGCGUGAGUGACGGUAAUGGGUAAAGAAGCACCGGCUAACUACGUGCCAGCAGCCGCGGUGAUACGUAGGGUGCGAGCGUUGUCCGGAUUUAUUGGGCGUAAAGGGCUCGUAGGUGGUUGAUCGCGUCGGAAGUGUAAUCUUGGGGCUUAACCCUGAGCGUGCUUUCGAUACGGGUUGACUUGAGGAAGGUAGGGGAGAAUGGAAUUCCUGGUGGAGCGGUGGAAUGCGCAGAUAUCAGGAGGAACACCAGUGGCGAAGGCGGUUCUCUGGGCCUUUCCUGACGCUGAGGAGCGAAAGCGUGGGGAGCGAACAGGCUUAGAUACCCUGGUAGUCCACGCUGUAAACGGUGGGUACUAGGUGUGGGGUCCAUUCCACGGGUUCCGUGCCGUAGCUAACGCUUUAAGUACCCCGCCUGGGGAGUACGGCCGCAAGGCUAAAACUCAAAGGAAUUGACGGGGCCCCGCACAAGCGGCGGAGCAUGCGGAUUAAUUCGAUGCAACGCGUAGAACCUUACCAGGGUUUGACAUGGAUCGGGAGUGCUCAGAGAUGGGUGUGCCUCUUUUGGGGUCGGUUCACAGGUGGUGCAUGGCUGUCGUCAGCUCGUGUCGUGAGAUGUUGGGUUAAGUCCCGCAACGAGCGCAACCCUUGUUCACUGUUGCCAGCACGUUAUGGUGGGGACUCAGUGGAGACCGCCGGGGUCAACUCGGAGGAAGGUGGGGAUGACGUCAAGUCAUCAUGCCCCUUAUGUCCAGGGCUUCACGCAUGCUACAAUGGCUGGUACAGAGAGUGGCGAGCCUGUGAGGGUGAGCGAAUCUCGGAAAGCCGGUCUCAGUUCGGAUUGGGGUCUGCAACUCGACCUCAUGAAGUCGGAGUCGCUAGUAAUCGCAGAUCAGCAACGCUGCGGUGAAUACGUUCCCGGGGCU
Molecule: ribosomal RNA, 1346 nt
Filed under: uncultured bacterium
Lineage: Bacteria
Description: partial 16S ribosomal RNA
Rfam family: Bacterial small subunit ribosomal RNA
Source: RNAcentral